UGAAAUAUAUACUUGGAGUCAGAUAUGUAACGCAUUUAUAAUAUUCAUGUUUUCCCCAUAUUUUUUUUUUUUCAAAAUACAAAAAAAGUUUUAUCUUUUUUUAUCAAUAACAAGGGAGUGUUGCCAACGUUUUUUUUAAGUGGUUGCCAGCUUUUAUUUUAAUCUGUCGAUGUCGCUUCUAUGCCUUACCGUAAUACCAUUUUUGGUUCGAAGCGACUUGCACAUAACGUCGACGACGACAAUAGAAACGACAACCGUAUUUGGGCCGAAUAAUAUUCUUUAAAGAGGUAUCAAUAAGAGAACAAUUUGAGUCUGACCUCCCAAAUAGCAGGGAUGUUGGGAAAAACAUUAAAUCUACUUCAAGGAGCCAUAUCUUGUGUGUUACCAUAUCGACAUUUUAAAAGCGAGGAGAUAUCACAGCGUCUAGAUUGGAGACUAAAUCCGGGAGGGUCCUCAUCUCUCUACCUGCCGUAUGAGCGACUCUACCCCUCCGGCCGAGAAGUAGAAAAGCUGCUCACGGAGCUGGGUAGCAAAGGGCAUCAUCAGUUGUGAUGACAACGCUCACCACUUUCAAUGGGGCAGCAAAGAUACUAACACCAGAGAUGUCUUCAACUAGCGCUUCAUGAUGGCGUUUGGCGCUAUUUCCGUGCCAUUGGAGGCAAAUGCUAAUUUGUAUGGAGAAUCAAGGCUCUUAUGACAACAGACAUGCACGGGAUCAAUUUUCAGCACACAAGUUUGGCUGUUGGUUUCUGGCCGAUUUUUUUCCCAAAAAUAUGGAUUGACCACCAAAACUGCUGACCACCUCCAGGAAGAUGCCUGGGGGGGCCAAUAUUUCCAGAACAGGGUUAACGUUGGUGCGAUCCCUGAACACAAUGGAGAUUUUAACACAAUACAGAUUAUAACAUAAUUUGCAUUUAACUUACUUAUAGUUAUUUCGCACGAACACAUAUAUUAAAACACCAUUGAACACAAUAAAACAACCACAAUUUGUAUUACUUAAAUCAAUUAUAAUUUUAACCUUGCGGGCUGCACCAAUGGUACUCCUUUACAACAAACAACAAAACGACUUAAACGACAUUUUCCCCGCUGAAGCCAAAAACCAAAGCUUCUAUUAAAAAUAAUUAUUCCCCACCGGGGAAAAGUAUUAGUGCUAUCUCACACAUUUGCACCCUAUUUUAUCAAGGAGUAUCUUGGGAAAUCCCCAAAAGGAAGGAAACAGAUAUUCAAUGUCGCAGAUGUCAAGGAUAUGGACACAUUGCCCCAUAUAACUGUGUUAAAUGCAAAGAGAAACAUGCUCCCGGAGAAUGUCAACGAUCUCCUACAGAUUCCUCAGACCCAUAUUGUGUGAAUUGUGACCAAACUGGACAUCCUGCAAAUUGGAGGGGUUGCCUAGCAUACAAAAAAUAUGUUGAUUCCAAGCAAAAAAGGAACGCCAAAUCAGCUGAGGUAAGAAUUACUGCCCAAAAUAACGUAAAUAAAGCCUUGAGCUUCUCAUAUUUGACACCUGGCAAAUCCUUUGCCAAUGCAUUAAAGCCACAAUCAUUGAAUAAAUGUAGUGAGAAGCCUCAUAUCGUUGAACAAUUCCUUGAGCUAGCUACACUUUUUUUAGACUCUGAGGAACUAACACUGGAAGAGGAGAUAUGUCGAUUUCUGUCGCAAUAUUCAAAAAUGUCAAAGAUUGAAGCCAAAAGAGAGUUUUUGAGACUUCUAAAUAAAGUUAGAAACACGUAUGAACCAUAAAAUUAUGACUUAAUUAACUUUUAAUGUAAGAUCACUUGUAGAUAGAAGUCGACAAGUAGAACUGUAUAAAACCCUCAAUCAUAAUAAUGUAGACAUU
Musca domestica (house fly) is the source of this 1837-nucleotide long non-coding RNA. RefSeq lists it as uncharacterized. The record is from RefSeq and is a predicted model, not a curated record. Lineage: Eukaryota; Metazoa; Arthropoda; Insecta; Diptera; Muscidae. The transcript has 3 exons.